This 463-nucleotide ribosomal RNA is filed under the name uncultured bacterium. Its description in RNAcentral is "partial 16S ribosomal RNA". It matches the Rfam family "Bacterial small subunit ribosomal RNA", at positions 28 to 507 of the family's 1533-position model. The record is from RNAcentral.
GAUGAACGCUGACAGAAUGCUUAACACAUGCAAGUCGAUGGGGAAGUGGUGCUUGCACCAUGGCAACCAUGGCGGACGGGUGAGUAACGCGUAAGGGACUUACCUGCAGGACUGGGAUAACAGGGGGAAACUCCUGACAAGACCGGAUAAUGUCAUGGAGCUGCAUGGCUUUAUGAUGAAAGGAGACGCCUGCGGAGAGCCUUGCGUCCUAUUAGCUAGUUGGUGAGGUAAUGGCUCACCAAGGCGAAGAUAGGUAGCCGGCCUGAGAGGGUGGACGGCCACAAGGGGACUGAGAUACGGCCCUUACUCCUACGGGAGGCAGCAGUGGGGAAUAUUGGACAAUGGGGGCAACCCUGAUCCAGCAAUUCUGUGUGCACGAAGAAGGUUUUCGGAUUGUAAAGUGCCUUCAGCAGGGAAGAAGUAAGUGACGGUACCUGCAGAAGAAGCGACGGCUAAAUACGUG